Molecule: ribosomal RNA, 254 nt
Filed under: uncultured bacterium
Lineage: Bacteria
Description: partial 16S ribosomal RNA
Rfam family: Bacterial small subunit ribosomal RNA
Source: RNAcentral
UACGGAGGGUGCGAGCGUUGUCCGGAAUCAUUGGGCGUAAAGGGCGCGUAGGUGGCCCGGUCAGUCUUUGGUGAAAGCGCGGGGCUCAACCCUGCGUCGGCCAGGGAUACUGCCGCGGCUCGAGCACUGUAGAGGCAAGCGGAAUUCCGGGUGUAGCGGUGGAAUGCGUAGAGAUCCGGAGGAACACCAGUGGCGAAGGCGGCUUUCUGGGCCUUACCUGACGCUGAGACGCGAAAGCGUGGGGAGCGAACCGG